GUAUUGAUUUCCUGCGAUGUAAAAAAACAUGCAGAAAACAUCAACUGGCACUUGGCACUAUGUUAAUAGGUUAGUACCAAAAAAUGAUAUAAAAUGAUUAUAAAACAUCCAAGAUUGAUAAUAUAACAACAUGGAACAAUCAAAAAUUAUAGAUACGUUGGAGACGCAUCAGCAUCCCCAAGCUUAACUCCUGCUUGUCCUCGAGUAGGUAAGUGAUAAAAACAGAAUUUUUCAUGUGGAAUGCUGCCUAACAUGUCAUCUCAUAUUCUUUUCUUUAUAGCAUGGACAUUUGGACUUUUAUAAUGUUCAAAGCAAUAGUCUAGUUUUGACAUGAUAACUUAAAUACUCAAGCAUACCAACAAGCAACCAUGUCUUUCAAAAUAUCAACGCUAAAAUAAGCUAUCCCUAGCCCAUUAUGCUCAAUCAUUGAUCCAUUCAUGAAACACACUCGCAUAUUAACUACACCCAAUGCUCAAGUACGAUCAUAGUGCCUACUAGUUGGUGCUUUAUAAGAGAAGAUGGAGACUCAAAUUAAAAAUAAAAAUUGCAUAAAGUAAAAGAAAGGCCCUUCGCGGAGGGAAGUAGGGAUUUGUAGAGGUGUGAGAGCUCAAAGCGAAAAUUGAGAGAUAAAAGCAUUUUGAGAGGCAUACUUUUCCUACCAACGAAAACGACUUAGAGUUCCCAACACUUUCCAUGCUAGAUAUAUCAUAGGCGGUUCCCAAACAGAAAUUAAAGUUUAUUCCUUUUUCAACCGUACUUUCACUUUCCAUGGCUAGCCGUAUCCACGGUUGCCCUCCAUACCAACACUUUCCAAGGAAUUUAUUAUUUGACAACAUAAAGUAAAUUCAUUUUUCAUUUCAGGACUGGGCAUCCCUAAUACCUUUUCCUUACUCUUGUGCAAUGACAAGUGAAUAAACACUCAUCGUGAGAAUAACACAUCUAGCAUGAAAACUUUUAGCCACCCCUCACCGCCUUGUUAGCGGAACGAGCACACAAAAGAGAAAUUUAUUUUGAAUAUUAGAUAUGGCACAUACAAAUUUUCUUAGAAUGGCAAAAGCAUACCACAUAUAGGUAGGUAUAGUGGACUCAUGUGGCAAAACUGGUUUAAAGGUUUUUGGAUGCACAAGUAGUGAUCAUACUUGGUGCAAAAUGAAGGCUAGCAAAAGAUUGAGAGGCGACCAACCAAGAAAUGAAUAAUCUCAUAAGCAAGCAUUAAGCAUCAUUAACACCAAAUAAUGCACCACAAGUAGGAUAUAAUUUCAUUGCAUAAUUAUUGACUUCCGUGCUUGCAUAGGGAAUCACAAACCUUAACACCAAUAUUCUUACUAAAGCAUAAUUACUCAUCAACAUGACUCACAAAUCACAUCAUCAUAUCUCAAAACUAUUACUAAGAAUCAAGUUUACUUUGUCCAAUGAUCUUCCUGAAUUUUUUAUUAUAUCCUUCUUGGAUAUCUAUCACUUUGGAACUAAUUUUCAUAAGUUGCUUUUGAUAAGCUCAAACAAAUAUAAGUGAAGAUCAUGAGCAUAAUAUUUCUUUCUCUCAAAUUAAUUUAAAUGAAGCAAGAGAGAAUUUCUUGAAAAAAAUUUAACUCUCAAAGAAAUCUAAGUGAAGCAAGAGAGCAUUUCUUCAAAAAUACUAAAGCACGCCGUGCUCAAAAAGAUAUAAGUGAACACUAGAGCAAGUCCAUAGCUCAUAAAAAUUUAAGUGAAGCAUAGAGAGCAAUUCUAACAAGUCAUGGCAUAAUUUUGGCUCUCUCAAAUAGGUGUGUCCAGCAAGGAAUGAAGACUUAAAACACAAAAUAAAACAAGCAAAGACUCUUAUCAUACAAUAUGCUCCAAGCAAAACACAUAGUAUGUGACGAAUAAAAAUAUAGCUUCGAGUAAAAUACCGAUGGUCGUUAGAAGAAAGAGGGGAUGCCACUCGGGGCAUCCCCAAUCUUAGUUGCUUGCUCUCUUUUGGAUAAUAUCUUGGGAUCCCGGGGCAUCCCCAAGCUUAGGCUCUUGUUACUCCUUAUUCCUUCAUCCAUCGUAAGAUAACCCAAAACUUGAAAACUUCAAUCACACAAAACUCAACAAAACCUUCGUGAGAUCCGUUAGUAUAAGAAAGCAAAUCACUACUAUAAGUAUUAUAGCAAAACAAUUCAUAUUUUGUUCUUGCAUUAUAUCUAUCUUAUUCCAACUUUUCUAUGGCAAAAACUCAUCAAAGAAAACCAUAGAUCCAUCAAAACAAGCACACAACGCAAAGAAAACAAAAUCUGUCAAAAACAGAACAGUCUAUAGCAAUCUGGAUAUUCCGAAUACUUCUGAAACUCCAACAAUUCUGAAAAAUUAGGAUGACCUGAGAAAUUUGUAUAUUAAUCUUCUUCAAAAAGAAUUGGCAUUUUAUCACGCUCUGGUAAAAAAUGAGAAUUGUUUUUGUGAGCGCAAAAGUUUCUGUUUUUUCAGCAGGAUCAAACAACUAUCACCCAAGAAGAUCCUAAAGGCUUUACUUGGCACAAACACUAACUAAAACAAAAAAACACAAUCAUAAAAGUAGCAUAAUUGUGCAAACACUCAAGAACAGAAAACAAAAAGCAAAAAUAAAUUUUUCAUUGGGUUGCCUCCCAACAAGCGCUAUAGUUUUACGCCCUUAGCUAGGCAUAAAGCAAGGAUCUAAGUUUUGUCAUCUUUGUUUCGAGAUCCAUAAGAUGCCCUCAUGAUUGAUUCAUAUGGUUGCCUAAUUCUUGUCUAGGGAAGUGUUUCGUACUCUUCCCCAAAGGAAAUUGGAACUUAAUAUUGCCUUCUUUCAUAUCAAUCACGACACCGAUAGUGCGUAAAAACGGUCUACCAAGAACAAUUGGACAAGACGGAUUGCAAUCAAUAUCAAGAACAAUAAAAUAUAUGGGCACAUAAUUCCUAUUUGCAAGAAUAAGAACAUCAUUAAUUCUUCCCAUAGGCUUUUUAAUAGUAGAAUCCGCCAAGUGCAAAUUUAAAGAGCAUUCUUCAAUAUCGGUAAGACCAAGCACAUCACAUAAAGAUUGCGGAAUUAUAGAAACACUAGCACCCAAGUCACACAAAGAAAAACACUCAUAAUUUUUAAUCUUGACUUUGAUAGUAGGUUCCCAUUCAUCAUGCAAUUUUCUAGGAAUUGAAACUUCUAAUUCCAACUUUUCUUCUAAAGCUUUCAUCAUAGCAUCAACAAUAUGUUUAGUAAAAGCUUUAUAUUGUUCAUAAGCAUGGGGGUGAAUUUAUCAUGGAUUGCAACAAGGAAAUAGAAUCAAUCAAAGAGCAACUAUCAUAAUAAAGUCUUUGUAAUCGAAAAGAGUGGGCACAUCACUAGUUAAAGUUUUGACCUCUUCGGACCCACUUUCAUCAAUUUUCUCAAUAAGAUUUUCACCCUCCAAAUUAUUGGGACGCCUUCUAACUAAAGUUGACUCUUCUCCAUUCCCUUUUUCAUCAAUCUUAAUUUUACUAAACUAGGAAUCAAUAGAAGAAAUACCAAUCAUUUUAAGAUCUUCAGCAUUUUUAUGAAAGCAAUCACUAGAAAACGCUUUUUCUAAAAAUUCUCUUUUAGCUCUAAGCAUAGCAGUUCUUUUCUCACUUUCAUGCAUAGAAACAUAAAGAGCUUUAACUGAUUCCUCAACUUUAGGCACAAAAAUUUUCAUCUUGAGAUUUUCUACAUCAUGAGCAAUUCUAUCAACGCUUCUAGACAAAUCAUCAAUCUUAUUCAACUUUUCUUCUAUGGUAGUGUUGAAAACCUUUUGUGUGCUGAUAAGUUUUUUAAUAUUAUUGUCAAGAUCAGAGGUGUUCCUAUUAUUAUUAUAAGAAAGAUUUCCAUAGUAAUUACCGUAAUUAUUGGAGGAAUUACUAGGAAAAGGCCUAGGAUUAAAAUUAGCUCUAUAAGCAUUGUUGUUGAAACUAUUUCGAGAGAUAAAAUUCACAUCUACGGCAUCACUAGUUUGCUCAACCAAAGUAGACAAAGGCAUAUCAUUAAAAUCAAUAGGAGCAAUUUUACUAGCAACCAAUUUCAUAAGAGCAUCAACUCUUUCACUCAAAGAAAAAAUUUCUUCAAUCCAAUUAACUUUUUUACUCGUAGGAGCUCUUUCGGUAUGCCAUUGUGAAUAAUUUUCCAUGAUAUUAUCAAGAAAUUUGGUGGCUUCACCCAAAGUAAUUUCCAUAAAAGUACCACCCGCGGCGGAAUCUAAAAGAUUACGAGAAACAAAAUUCAAUCCCGCAUAAAACUUUUGUAUGAUCAUCCAAAGAUUUAACCGAUGAGUUGGGCAAUUCCUUAGCAUCAUUUUCAAGCUUUCUCAAGAUUCUGCAACAUGCUCAUGUUCAAGUUGCUUGAAAUUCAUAUCUGGGUUCUAAGGGAAAUAAUUUUUGCGGGCGGAAAAUACUUAGCGAUAAAAGCAUCUUUGCACUUAUUCCAAAAUUGAUACUAUUGCGAGGCAAAGAAGAAAACCAAUUUUUUGCAGAAUCACGCAAAGAAAGCGGAAAUAAUUUCAUCUUCACAACAUCAUUGUCCACAUCUUUUUCUUUUGCGUAUCGCAUAAUUCCACAAAGGUAUUAAAAUGGGACGCGUCAUCCUCAUUAGGAGUACCGAAAAAUUGAUCUUUCAUAACAAGAUUCAGUAGAGCGGUAUUAAUAUCACAAGACUCCGCACUAGUGGCGGGAGGAGCAAUCGGAGUGCCAAUAAAAUCAUUGUUGGUAUUUGAGAAAUCGCACAACUUGGUGUUCUCUUGAGUCAUGAUGACUGCGCAACAAGAUUGCACUCAAAAACAGAUCCGGCAAGAAAACGACGAACGAAAAAGAGGGGCGAAUAAAACAGCAAAUUUUUGUGAAGUGGGGGAGAGGAAAAGGAGAGGCAAAUGGCAAAUAAUGUAAAUUGCGAGGAGAUGAGUUUUGUGAUUAGGAACCUGGUAUAUGUUGAAGAUCCUCACCGGCAACGACGCUAGAAAUUCCUUUUGAUUCGGCUUGAAGCUACGUCGAUAUUUCCCCAAAGAGGAAGGGAUGAUGCGGCACAACAGCGGUAGGUAUUUCCCUCAGUGAUGAAACCAAGGUUAUCGAACCAGUAGGAGAACCAAGCAACACAACGUAAACAACACCUGCACAUAAAUAACAAAUACUCACAACCCGACGUGUUAAAGGGGUUGUCAAUCCCUUUCGGGUAACGGCGCCAGAAAUUGGCACGUGGACGGGAGAAAGUUGUAAAUAGUUGAUAGAUCGAACGGCAAAUAAAAUAAAGUGCAGCAAAGUAUUUUUGUAUUUUUGGUUUAAUAGAUCUGAAAAUAAAAGCAAAGGAAAAUAGAUCGCAAAGGCAAAUAAUAUGAGAAAGAGACCCGGGGGCCAUAGGUUUCACUAGUGGCUUCUCUCGAGAAAAAUAGCAAACGGUGGGUAAACAAAUUACUGUUGGGCAAUUGAUAGAACUUCAAAUAAUCAUGACGAUAUCGAGGCAAUGAUCAUUACAUAGGUAUCACGUCCAAGAUUAGUAGACCGACACCUGCCUGCAUCUACUACUAUUACUCCACACAUCGACCGCUAUCCAGCAUGCAUCUAGUGUAUUAAGUUCAUGGGGAAACGGAGUAAUGCAAUAAGAACGAUGACAUGAUGUAGAAAAGAUCUAUCUAUGUAGAGAUAGACCCCAUCGUUUUAUCCUUAGUAGCAACGAUACAUACGUGUCGGUUCUCCUUCUGUCACUGGGAUUAAGCACCGUAAGAUCGAACCCACUACAAAGCACCUCUUCCCAUUGCAAGAUAAAUAGAUCAAGUUGGCCAAACAAAACCCAAAUAUCAGAGAAGAAAUACGAGGCUAUAAGCAAUCAUGCAUAUAAGAGAUCAAAGAAACUCAAAUAACUUUCAUGGAUAUAAAAAGAUAGAUCUGAUCAUAAACUCAAAGUUCAUCCGAUCCCAACAAACACACCGUAAAAAGAGUUACAUCAGAUGGAUCUCUAGGAGACCAUUGUAUUGAGAAUCAUUUGAGAGAGAGGAAGCCAUCUAGCUACUAACUACGGACCCGAAGGUCUACAGAGAACUACUGACGCAUCAUCGGAGAGGCACCAAUGGAAGUGGUGAACCCCUCUGUGAUGGUGUCUAGAUUGGAUCUGGUGGUUCUGGACUCUGCGGCGUCUGGAAUUGAUUUUCUUCGACUCCCCUACGGUUUCUGGAAUAUUGGGGUAUUUAUACACCAAAGAGGCGGUCUAGGGGGCACCCGAGGUGGGCACAACCCACCAGGGUGCGCCUGGGCCUCCUGGCGCGCCCUGGUGGGUUGUGCUCCCCUCGGAGCACCCCCAGGCGCUGCCUUGGCCCAUUGGGUGUCUUGUGGUCCGUAAAAAAUCUCCGUGAAGUUUUGUUGCAUUUGGACUCUGUUUGGUAUUGAUUUCCUGUGAUGUAAAAAACAUGCAGAAAACAUCAACUGGCACUUGGCGCUAUGUUAAUAGGUUAGUACCAAAAAAUGAUAUAAAAUGACUAUAAAAUGAUUAUAAAACAUCCAAGAUUGAUAAUAUAACAUCAUGGAAUAAUAAAAAUUAUAGAUACGUUGGAGACGUAUCAUAAGCAUAUAACCAACUGGAUGCAAAGUAACAUGCAUAGCAACGGUACUUGAUAAUAGACGGUAAACAUGCAUCAGAAAGAACACCACUGCUACCAGCAUGAACUACUACUAUGGAGCAUAACAUGUGAUAAUAAUACUAGCAAGUAAUACAAGAUAACAAAAUGCAUCGGAACAUAGUAUGAAGGUUUACAUGAAACCACGGGCAUAACCGAAACAACGACAAUAGUAGCAAACAAGCAGAUAGAUAACAUGCAAACUUUUAUUAAAUAUUCAAGUAGAAACCAUGGCUACUGCAUGGCUAUCAUGCAAGUGGCUGUUGUCGCUUUCCUGGGGGUGACGGAGACUCUGGGAAGAAGUGCGGUGAAGCCGCGGAACGAAACGUCGGGCGGUUCUCUUUCGGAGGGGGCUGAUUAGAGGCAAGGGCAUAAUGGUCAUUUUCACAGUGUGAACACCUUAUGAGAAUGGCACCAACAGAAAGAUCUCGACGAGACAAAGAAGUGAGCGUUGGUUUCACCUCAAUCGGAGUUACGGUCGCGAAGUUAUGAGGUGUAGAAGAUUAGGGACUUUUCUGUAAAAAGAAUAUUCACAGCCGGGUCCCUGAGUGGAUAAGACAGAG
Molecule: long non-coding RNA, 7144 nt
Filed under: Triticum aestivum (bread wheat)
Lineage: Eukaryota; Viridiplantae; Streptophyta; Magnoliopsida; Poales; Poaceae
Description: long non-coding RNA (TAES_LNC015432)
Source: RNAcentral